AUACAUGCAGUCGAACGAACUCUGGUAUUGAUUGGUGCUUGCAUCAUGAUUUACAUUUGAGUGAGUGGCGAACUGGUGAGUAACACGUGGGAAACCUGCCCAGAAGCGGGGGAUAACACCUGGAAACAGAUGCUAAUACCGCAUAACAACUUGGACCGCAUGGUCCGAGCUUGAAAGAUGGCUUCGGCUAUCACUUUUGGAUGGUCCCGCGGCGUAUUAGCUAGAUGGUGGGGUAACGGCUCACCAUGGCAAUGAUACGUAGCCGACCUGAGAGGGUAAUCGGCCACAUUGGGACUGAGACACGGCCCAAACUCCUACGGGAGGCAGCAGUAGGGAAUCUUCCACAAUGGACGAAAGUCUGAUGGAGCAACGCCGCGUGAGUGAAGAAGGGUUUCGGCUCGUAAAACUCUGUUGUUAAAGAAGAACAUAUCUGAGAGUAACUGUUCAGGUAUUGACGGUAUUUAACCAGAAAGCCACGGCUAACUACGUGCCAGCAGCCGCGGUAAUACGUAGGUGGCAAGCGUUGUCCGGAUUUAUUGGGCGUAAAGCGAGCGCAGGCGGUUUUUUAAGUCUGAUGUGAAAGCCUUCGGCUCAACCGAAGAAGUGCAUCGGAAACUGGGAGACUUGAGUGCAGAAGAGGACAGUGGAACUCCAUGUGUAGCGGUGAAAUGCGUAGAUAUAUGGAAGAACACCAGUGGCGAAGGCGGCUGUCUGGUCUGUAACUGACGCUGAGGCUCGAAAGUAUGGGUAGCAAACAGGAUUAGAUACCCUGGGUAGUCCAUACCGUAAACGAUGAAUGCUA
RNAcentral lists this ribosomal RNA (802 nucleotides) under Lactiplantibacillus plantarum. RNAcentral's name for it is "bacterial SSU rRNA". It matches the Rfam family "Bacterial small subunit ribosomal RNA", at positions 51 to 818 of the family's 1533-position model. Lineage: Bacteria; Bacillati; Bacillota; Bacilli; Lactobacillales; Lactobacillaceae. The record is from RNAcentral.